AACUCUGUCUCUCUCUGUCUCCGUUCCUUUGCCAGCAUCACCGCACUGCACCGUCGCCGUCCAACAACCCCGCCAUUGUCGUCCAGCACCGAUGUGACUUCCCCUUUGUCUCUGUUCAUCUUCCUCUUUUUGCGCCUCAGGUAGCAGAGAUAGACCGAGUGGGUCUUGUGGUCGUGGUAGAAAAAAAGUUUCCACUGAAUCCCCUGCGACUGUUCAAUCCUCGCCUUUUACCUCGACUACCCCAUCGACCCCUGUGACGUCACAGGUGGGUCCAGCGAACCAACAGCUCAUCAUGGUCUCAAACCCGAACUACGUGCUUCAUUUUGCUAUGCCCCCUGCAGAUCCAGCGAUAGAGCUCAGGGUGGGUGAUUCCUCCAGUACCCCUCAGCAAGAUGCCCCUCUAACAUCGCCCGUCAUCCAGUUGAGAAUUUUUUCCGAUGGCAUGCAGGUUUGCACCAAACAAUAAUGCUUGCACACAGGAGAUCUCCGAGGUCAUUAAGUCGAUGUAUGACCACCCAUGGCCGACUUACACGCAGAUCCUGGUUGAGACUAGAGAUCGAUGGUUUCAGAAGUGGACAGUAGAACCCAAUAAUGUUGAAUUAAUUAACUGUAUUUGAACUGUAUCUUAUUCUGACUAACUAAUGUUGUUGAAUCACUUUGUGCAGUUGAAAGUCAUAUGGGAUGCGGAGCAUAAUCUCAUGAUCAGGAAGAUCUACGACCACCGGGCAGCUAAACGACUUCAGUAGAUGAUGAGCGACGUUCGUAAGGGGUGCGACCACCUAACGUUGUGGAUUCGUCCAGCCAUCAAGAAGGAACUGAAGGCUUAUUUUAACAAUGAUGAGGGGUUCAAGCAUCACCGUCUGAUGAAUGUCUCUAACAGGGCUUUGCCCAGGUCGUCGAAGUAUACGGGUAGGUCGGCAACAUUCAUGAAGACGAAGAGCUGAUUGUCUAAGUCAUUGGACUGUGAGGUGACAUUGGCGGAGGCCUUCAAGUAUAUCCAUACUUUGAAGGCUAACAAGGAGAGAUUUGCUUAUGAGCGAUCUGCGGCCCACUAUAAAAAUUACACGCAGAGGUUGGAGGCUACAACCCAGCAAUCUCAGCUGCCUGGUGGGAAUGACGAAGCUGGUUUUGAGACCUCAGUGGUAGAUCCUAAUAGGGUUUGGCACGAGACCGCCUCUGAACCCUAUAAGAAUCGCCGCAUCGGGUUGGGGUCGUUCUUCGCUAGUGGCCUUUGCUCCUCCGCGUUGGCGGCUUCUUGUGCCUUUGCCACCAGCCCUACCGAUCCCCAGAAAGUUGUCAACUUAAGAGAGGAGGUGCAAAAGGUGACACAGAAGCAUCACCAGCAAGCGGAGUAAUCUGAGUAGAGGUACAAUGACUUUUUUGCACGCGUGGGAGGAGUCGUUGCCAUCAGCUUAGACCUGACAGAGAAGAUGGAGCAGCUAGAUCAGUUACGAGAGCAGAUGGAGGCGUACAACCAAUAGAUGUACGUUAGAGCCAGCGAUGCUGGAGGCCGGGGGAUUCCCAUUGGAGCACAGACAUCAGCACCUACUCUGUCACCUUAGCAGGGGGACCACGACAAUGACAAUGAUUUUCGGGAUUUGUAGGGGUUAGGGUAUUAUUUUUUUCUUUUGUCUAUUUCAUUGUAUUCUACUUCUAUGAUAUUUUGUUGUAU
Arachis ipaensis is the source of this 1672-nucleotide non-coding RNA. Lineage: Eukaryota; Viridiplantae; Streptophyta; Magnoliopsida; Fabales; Fabaceae. The record is from RefSeq and is a predicted model, not a curated record.